GGCAAGGUGGCCGAGUGGUUAUGGCGUUGGUUGUGAGUAACCUUAUUACCAAAGUUACCUACCAUUGUCAUACUAAUAAACCCCCAGUUAGGUAUUACCGAUACACCAAUUCGAAAGAGCGCGGGUUCGAGUCCCGUCCUUGUCA
Molecule: non-coding RNA, 145 nt
Organism: Aspergillus sclerotiicarbonarius CBS 121057
Lineage: Eukaryota; Fungi; Ascomycota; Eurotiomycetes; Eurotiales; Aspergillaceae
Source: the annotation of a GenBank genome assembly